GCCGUAGCUCAGUGGUAGAGCAUCUGCUUUAUGUGCAGAAGGUCCCAGGUUUUAUCCCUGGUACCUCCA
Podarcis lilfordi (Lilford's wall lizard) is the source of this 69-nucleotide non-coding RNA. The record is from the annotation of a GenBank genome assembly. Lineage: Eukaryota; Metazoa; Chordata; Lepidosauria; Squamata; Lacertidae.